AACGAACGCUGGCGGCAUGCCUAACACAUGCAAGUCGAACGAGACCUUCGGGUCUAGUGGCUCACGGGUGCGUAACGCGUGGGAACCUUCCCUUAGGUUCGGAAUAACUCCCCGAAAGGGGUGCUAAUACCGGAUAAUGUCUUCGGACCAAAGAUUUAUCGCCUUUGGAUGGGCCCGCGUUGGAUUAGCUUGUUGGUAGGGUAAAAGCCUACCAAGGCGACGAUCCAUAGCUGGUCUGAGAGGAUGAUCAGCCACACUGGGACUGAGACACGGCCCAGACUCCUACGGGAGGCAGCAGUGGGGAAUAUUGGACAAUGGGCGAAAGCCUGAUCCAGCAAUGCCGCGUGAGUGAUGAAGGCCUUAGGGUUGUAAAGCUCUUUUACCCGGGAUGAUAAUGACAGUACCGGGAGAAUAAGCUCCGGCUAACUCCGUG
RNAcentral lists this ribosomal RNA (433 nucleotides) under uncultured bacterium. RNAcentral describes it as "partial 16S ribosomal RNA". It matches the Rfam family "Bacterial small subunit ribosomal RNA", at positions 29 to 507 of the family's 1533-position model. The record is from RNAcentral.